Molecule: ribosomal RNA, 492 nt
Filed under: uncultured bacterium
Lineage: Bacteria
Description: partial 16S ribosomal RNA
Rfam family: Bacterial small subunit ribosomal RNA
Source: RNAcentral
AGUGAACGCUGGCGGUAGGCCUAACACAUGCAAGUCGAACGGCAGCACAGUAAGAGCUUGCUCUUACGGGUGGCGAGUGGCGGACGGGUGAGGAAUACAUCGGAAUCUACUUUUUCGUGGGGGAUAACGUAGGGAAACUUACGCUAAUACCGCAUACGACCUACGGGUGAAAGCAGGGGAUCCUCGGACCUUGCGCGAUUGAAUGAGCCGAUGUCGGAUUAGCUAGUUGGCGGGGUAAAGGCCCACCAAGGCGACGAUCCGUAGCUGGUCUGAGAGGAUGAUCAGCCACACCGGAACUGAGACACGGUCCAGACUCCUACGGGAGGCAGCAGUGGGGAAUAUUGGACAAUGGGCGCAAGCCUGAUCCAGCCAUACCGCGUGGGUGAAGAAGGCCUUCGGGUUGUAAAGCCCUUUUGUUGGGAAAGAAAAGCAGCAGGUUAAUACCCCGCUGUUCUGACGGUACCCAAAGAAUAAGCACCGGCUAACUUCGUG